UACGGAGGGUGCAAGCGUUAUCCGGAUUCACUGGGUUUAAAGGGUGCGUAGGUGGGUUGGUAAGUCAGUGGUGAAAUCUCCGGGCUUAACCUGGAAACUGCCAUUGAUACUAUCAAUCUUGAAUACCUUGGAGGUGAGCGGAAUAUGUCAUGUAGCGGUGAAAUGCUUAGAUAUGACAUAGAACACCAAUUGCGAAGGCAGCUUACUACACAACGAUUGACGCUGAGGCACGAAAGCGUGGGGAUCAAACAGG
This 253-nucleotide ribosomal RNA is filed under the name uncultured bacterium. Its description in RNAcentral is "partial 16S ribosomal RNA". It matches the Rfam family "Bacterial small subunit ribosomal RNA", at positions 524 to 776 of the family's 1533-position model. The record is from RNAcentral.